RNAcentral lists this ribosomal RNA (253 nucleotides) under uncultured bacterium. Its description in RNAcentral is "partial 16S ribosomal RNA". It matches the Rfam family "Bacterial small subunit ribosomal RNA", at positions 795 to 1052 of the family's 1533-position model. The record is from RNAcentral.
CCACGCAGUAAACGAUGAUAACUCGUUGUCGGCGAUACACAGUCGGUGACUAAGCGAAAGCGAUAAGUUAUCCACCUGGGGAGUACGUUCGCAAGAAUGAAACUCAAAGGAAUUGACGGGGGCCCGCACAAGCGGAGGAACAUGUGGUUUAAUUCGAUGAUACGCGAGGAACCUUACCCGGGCUUGAAAGUUAGUGACGAUUCUGGAAACAGGAUUUCCCUUCGGGGCACAAAACUAGGUGCUGCAUGGUUGU